UGGGAUGUCGUCUAAUGGUAGGACCGCAGCCUUUGGAGCUGUGUAUUUUGGUUCGAAUCCAAGCGUCCCAG
This 71-nucleotide transfer RNA is filed under the name Candidatus Levyibacteriota bacterium. RNAcentral describes it as "tRNA-Gln". It matches the Rfam family "tRNA". Rfam says of the family: Transfer RNA (tRNA) molecules are approximately 80 nucleotides in length. The record is from RNAcentral. Lineage: Bacteria; Candidatus Levyibacteriota.